GACGAACGCUGGCGGCGUGCUUAACACAUGCAAGUCGUACGGUAAGGCCCUUUCGGGGGUACACGAGUGGCGAACGGGUGCGUAACACGUGAGUAACCUGCCCACAACUUUGGGAUAACGCUAGGAAACUGGUGCUAAUACUGGAUAUGUGCUCCUGCUGCAUGGUGGGGGUUGGAAAGCUCCGGCGGUUGUGGAUGGACUCGCGGCCUAUCAGCUUGUUGGUGGGGUAGUGGCCUACCAAGGCGGCGACGGGUAGCCGGCCUGGGAGGGUGACCGGCCACAUUGGGACUGAGAUACGGCCCAGACUCCUACGGGAGGCAGCAGUGGGGAAUAUUGCACAAUGGGCGCAAGCCUGAUGCAGCAACGCCGCGUGCGGGAUGACGGCCUUCGGGUUGUAAACCGCUUUCAGCAGGGACGAAGCUUUUUGUGACGGUACCUGCAGAAGAAGCACCGGCUAACUACGUG
RNAcentral lists this ribosomal RNA (465 nucleotides) under uncultured bacterium. RNAcentral describes it as "partial 16S ribosomal RNA". It matches the Rfam family "Bacterial small subunit ribosomal RNA", at positions 28 to 507 of the family's 1533-position model. The record is from RNAcentral.